GUAGUCCAUGCCGUAAACGUUGGGCGCUAGGUGUGGGGCCCUAUCCACGGGUUCCGUGCCGCAGCUAACGCAUUAAGCGCCCCGCCUGGGGAGUACGGCCGCAAGGCUAAAACUCAAAGGAAUUGACGGGGGCCCGCACAAGCGGCGGAGCAUGCGGAUUAAUUCGAUGCAACGCGAAGAACCUUACCAAGGCUUGACAUACGCCGGAAACACUCAGAGAUGGGUGCCCCGCAAGGUCGGUGUACAGGUGGUGCAUGGUUGUCGUCAGCUCGUGUCGUGAGAUGUUGGGUUAAGUCCCGCAACGAGCGCAACCCUCGUUCUAUGUUGCCAGCGGGUAGUGCCGGGGACUCAUAGGAGACUGCCGGGGUCAACUCGGA
This 377-nucleotide ribosomal RNA is filed under the name uncultured bacterium. RNAcentral's name for it is "bacterial SSU rRNA". It matches the Rfam family "Bacterial small subunit ribosomal RNA", at positions 790 to 1167 of the family's 1533-position model. The record is from RNAcentral.